GGAGUUGUGGCUCAGUGAAAGCACUCGCCUAGCAUGUGUGAGGCCCUGGGUUUGAUCCUCAGCACCA
RNAcentral lists this transfer RNA (67 nucleotides) under Marmota monax (woodchuck). RNAcentral describes it as "tRNA.Ala". Lineage: Eukaryota; Metazoa; Chordata; Mammalia; Rodentia; Sciuridae. The record is from RNAcentral.